GAGACGCAUUUCAUCAACAGCUACGUGACGUAUAGAGGAAGGUUUUUCAGGUUCAGUUGCAGGAAUUGUGGUCGGAGUACUCGUUGUGUGUGUAGCAUUAGGAGCUGGAGCAGUAUUAUGCUACUUUAGAAGACUAAAGAACAAACACAAAACGGACGCUCCAGAGACGAUAUAUUUAAAGUGGUU
Molecule: long non-coding RNA, 186 nt
Organism: Hippoglossus stenolepis (Pacific halibut)
Lineage: Eukaryota; Metazoa; Chordata; Actinopteri; Pleuronectiformes; Pleuronectidae
Exons: 3
Source: RefSeq, a predicted model, not a curated record